AGAGUUGGAUCUUGACCAUGAAAAUAUAAAUGUUACGAUAGGUUCAUAAUACAUCGUUAAACCAUUUUAUCUAACUUGUGACAGCAUGAGCAUGCACUUUAUUUUGAAAUGUCUGCAAAAAAGAACAAUCUUCAAACAUAAGAUGCUCAUCCUUGCCAAUCGAUGACUUGAACUACCUUGAGUACCUGAAGCUGCCUGGUGUUCUUGACCAGCUUGACCUGGAGAGAGGCUUAGAGGGAAGAUUUAUGUGUUUGCAAAUGCCAACAAAUUUCCUGCAAAAUGCCAACAAAUUCCCUGAUGUAAAACAACUGAUAAUACAUAACAAAAUUACCCAUGUUUCUUCCCAAAAAAACUCAAACUGAACUCAUUUUUGUAAUUUAGAGACAAUAAAUUCCAAAAAAAAAACAGAUAAAUAAAGCAAUCAAACCGUUAAAGGGGUCAAAUUUAGUAACUUAACAAGAGGGGAAACCAGUUAGAGAGGUCAAAUUUAGUAACUUAACAAAAGGGGAAACCGGUUGAGCGUUAGACCAUCAUAUAAUCUUUCGAAUACUGAAUUUGGAUUCGGUUUUGCGCCAUCUUAAAAGCUUAGCCAUUUGGCCCAUUACCCAAUCAAACCAUUUCGCCACCUAUAAAGAAACAAAAUCCAGAUAAAUGAAAUCACAGCACGUACUUCAAAGGUAUCAGAUUUCAAUCUUAGAUUAACACCUAUACUUUGAUCUACAUGAUCUUCAAUCUCAGUUAAGAGGCAACUUCAGGCCACUGACUUGAAAGUGGGUAGAACACGGACAUGACGAAGUGGUCCCCAUUCAGCCUAUAGUUAAAAUAAUGAUAUAAGAAACUAAGUAAUAUAAAAAAUUAUAAUAUUUUGUAAAGAGAUGAAUGGGAUAAAUUAUAAGUACAUAAGAAUUGGAUGCCGAUCUUCUUCGGUUCAGCUUCGUUCUCAUGUUUAGCAGCCGCCACAUAUAUGGAUGAAGAGAAAAUAUACAUAGCAUAGAGACGAAAUACAAACUAUACAACCUUAAAAAUCAAUUCAUGCAUAUGAUGUAAUAACUGCCAUUAGCAUGCACAAAACAAGAACAUAUAUAAAUGAAUUGAAUGGGUCUGAGUCAUAUCCAAAUCUAAUAAGAAAGAACAAAUAAUAGAAGUUCAACAAAAUAUAUGAAAAAGUAAAAAUUAUAUAAAAAUAUCACAUGAAAGAAGAAACUGUAAGUUUAAUAUAAAGUGUAAAUGUGCAAGGGACCAUUGUGGACCUGUGGUACAAAAGAAAGAAAAGCCAGAGGUUUAUUAUAUGGUUCCACAUAGAGGGCCCACAAGCUCACUAUUCCAUCUAUGAGAAUUAGGGGUGCAAACGAGCCGAGCCGAGUCCGAGCUCGGCUCGGGCUUGGCUCGUUUAUUAUCUAUUAAUUAGUAUAUUAAAUAAUAGACUUUUUAAGCUCGCGAGCUCGAUAAGUGAAGCUCGGGCUUGGGCUCGUUUACUAAAUAAGCUUAUUUUUAGGUUCGAGAUCGGCUUGUAAACAAGUUUAAAUAAGCUAGGCUCGACUCGGCUCGUUUACACUAAGGCUCGACGAGCCUAACAAGCUUCACAUGCGAGGCUCGAGCUCGGACUCGAUAAACAAACGAGCUUUGUUUUUAGGCUAAAGCUCGGCUCGGGCUCGAUAAAGCUCUACUUGUUUCAAGCUUUUUCUCGAGCCGAUAUCGAGUAGCUCGCGAGCCGCUAGGCUCGUUUGCACCCCUAAUGAGAAUGUACCACUAAAUAUUGCAAAAAAAGAUUAAAAAAAAAAAAAGACAUAAAACACAUGUUAUAAAAUUAUCCACAAUUUAUACAUGUCUCCUCCUACAAAUCCAUAUACACCUUAAGCAACAAUGCACACAUAAGAUAAACAAUGCAUAUUAAAAUCCAUAGUUAUCAAAGGCGUGAAGCGCACUCAAGGCGCUUAGGCUCCGCUUAGGCCUAGGUGAUAGGCGCAAAAAAAGCGUGGGCCGGUGAAAAAAAAAGCGCACUUAAAUAAAAAAAAAAGUUCAUUAAAGCAAUAAAGUACUCAAAACCAAAACAAAAAUGUUCAUACUCCAUUUAAAAAGUCUCAAAUAACAAAAUACUCAAAACCAACAUGUUAAUGUUCGAAAAAAAAUAGUUCAUUAAAGUAAUAAAAGAGUAAGCAAAAAAAUACUGCAGUAAAGCCCUAUAAAUACUGCAGAAAAAGUGGAAUUUACAAAUUAAUACAAACUUAAUAUUACUAAACGAGAUUUUGAUCUUUAGUGAUAUCAUUUGUUAGUAAAAUCCCUAUAAAUACUGCAGAAAAAGGGGAUAUUACAACUUAAUAAAGAAAAAUAUUAAAUAUCAAUAGGAUUUAGGCUGCGCUAUAAUUAGCUAGGAAUCAAAGGCGCAAUUACUGGGAAUCGCCCAGAAAAAACGCAUAGGCGCCAAAAGCGCACGCUUUUGAUAACUAUGUUAAAAUCAAAACAAUAAGAAGGUUCCAAAUCAAUUUUAUAACAUACAUUUAUUCUAUCGAAAAAAUGACACAUGGAACAGCAUUAACUUUCAUAUAAUUCCAAAAUCUAUGCCUUUAUACAUCAUCCCUGCAAGUGAAUUUUAUAAUUGAUUUUCAUACUUGCAGAAACCUAAAACUCUUUGAUCUUUAUUGAAUAAAGGGAUUGUAUAGAUUGAUGAAGCCAAUAAACGAAUGAGAGACUACCUGAAGCGGAAUGACUGACCACGGUGGACGGACGGAGUGGCUGACAGUGGCGGAUCGGUGAAUCGGAGAAAAGAGAAUCGAAUGCACAGAAAGCAUUGUUUUGAAAAUUGUCCUUUAUUUGAUACUUAUAGGAAUGAUGGCUGAAUCGGAACCACCAGAAAGCAUCAUGUCCUUUUCACCUCUGAUAAUAUGAUUCGCUGCAUUGAGUAUACAAUAAUUACUCGUAGCACAAGCUGUGGAAAUCGAAUAAUUUGGUCCCAUC
This 2955-nucleotide long non-coding RNA is filed under the name Helianthus annuus (common sunflower). Its description in RNAcentral is "hypothetical non coding rna". The record is from RNAcentral. Lineage: Eukaryota; Viridiplantae; Streptophyta; Magnoliopsida; Asterales; Asteraceae.